RNAcentral lists this ribosomal RNA (427 nucleotides) under uncultured bacterium. Its description in RNAcentral is "partial 16S ribosomal RNA". It matches the Rfam family "Bacterial small subunit ribosomal RNA", at positions 355 to 774 of the family's 1533-position model. The record is from RNAcentral.
UGGGGAAUAUUGGACAAUGGGCGAAAGCCUGAUCCAGCCAUGUCGCGUGUGUGAAGAAGGUCUUCGGAUUGUAAAGCACUUUAAGUUGGGAGGAAGGGCAUUAACCUAAUACGUUAGUGUUUUGACGUUACCGACAGAAUAAGCACCGGCUAACUCUGUGCCAGCAGCCGCGGUAAUACAGAGGGUGCAAGCGUUAAUCGGAAUUACUGGGCGUAAAGCGCGCGUAGGUGGUCUGUUAAGUUGGAUGUGAAAGCCCCGGGCUCAACCUGGGAACUGCAUCCAAAACUGGCAAGCUAGAGUACGGUAGAGGGUGGUGGAAUUUCCUGUGUAGCGGUGAAAUGCGUAGAUAUAGGAAGGAACACCAGUGGCGAAGGCGACCACCUGGACUGAUACUGACACUGAGGUGCGAAAGCGUGGGGAGCAAACA